GACGAACGCUGGCGGCGUGCUUAACACAUGCAAGUCGAACGGAAAGGCCCUGCUCUUGUGGGGUGCUCGAGUGGCGAACGGGUGAGUAACACGUGAGUAACCUGCCCUUGACUUUGGGAUAACUUCAGGAAACUGGGGCUAAUACCGGAUAGGAGCUCUUGCUGCAUGGUGGGGGUUGGAAAGUUUCGGCGGUUGGGGAUGGACUCGCGGCUUAUCAGCUUGUUGGUGGGGUAGUGGCUUACCAAGGCUUUGAAGGGUAGCCGGCCUGAGAGGGUGACCGGCCACAUGGGGACUGAGAUACGGCCCAGACUCCUACGGGACGCAGCAGUGGGGAAUAUUGCACAAUGGGCGGAAGCCUGAUACAGCAACGCCGCGUGCGGGAUGACGGCCUUCUAGUUGUAAACCGCUUUCGCCGGUGACGAAGAGUUAGUGACGGUAAUGGGUAAAAAAGCACCGGCUAACUACGUG
Molecule: ribosomal RNA, 468 nt
Filed under: uncultured bacterium
Lineage: Bacteria
Description: partial 16S ribosomal RNA
Rfam family: Bacterial small subunit ribosomal RNA
Source: RNAcentral